Molecule: long non-coding RNA, 11234 nt
Filed under: Solanum lycopersicum (tomato)
Lineage: Eukaryota; Viridiplantae; Streptophyta; Magnoliopsida; Solanales; Solanaceae
Description: long non-coding RNA (SLYC_LNC000718)
Source: RNAcentral
CUAGCGGUAUACCUCCACAUCUCUCAACUAUACAUCUACCAAUAUUUACCAAGUCUGGUGAAGUAUUGGCCCAAUUAUCAUUUACAAAAUUACAGAUUUUCUUGGUAAAGAGUUCAAAACUGUUCUCUGAGUCUAGAGGUUGCAACUCGUGGAUUGAGAAAUCCCCUCCUAUGUAUCUGCCUACAUUACUAUUUCGAGAGGUCAUAAUUAUCCUACUGCCAAUUUUUGAAUCAGAUUCAGGAAGGACAAGUUUUAGAUCAUCCCAAAUUUCAACAUCCCAAAUGUCAUCUAAAAGGAUAACGUACCUUUUUAUUUUCAAGAGUGAUCUUAGGUUGUGUUCCAAGUUCUCUUUCCUUUCUUCUUCCGUCAGUCCAACUUGUUUGGCUAUGUUAAGCAAGAUUUCUCCCGCCCUUGGCUGCUGCGAGACAUAGACCAAUCCAGAACAUUCAAAUUGAUGACGGACGUGCCUAUAAAGUUUCUUGGCAAGAGUAGUUUUUCCCAAACCGGGCAUGCCAACUAUUGAAACAACUCCAUAAGGCAAAUCUUGAAGAAGCAAUUUGUGUUGGAGCUUGUUGAAGUCAUGAUCCAAACCGAUGACCUCUGUUUCAUCAUAAGCAUGAAGGAAUCGUCUUCUCCGGUCCAUUGGAAUGCAAUCAUCAUUAUUGUUACUUGUAUCUGUGAUGUUGUAAGUUGUCCUUACACGGUCAAUAUCAGCAACUCUUCUUUUUAUCUUCUCAAUCUCCAUAGCAAACUUAUUCGCAAAAUAAACAGUCUUAAGGCAACAAAUGAACUUAUUGGAUUGUUGAAUUUUUGGAAGGAACUCAUCUAAUAGAUCCUCCACAUCACCUGCCAGUUGUUGAAUAUCUUCUAAUAGGUUUUUGACCCUUGAAUCACCUCCAACUUCCUUUGCCUUUGCAUCGUCUACAUAUGAUCGAAUGUGUUUCAUUUCUCUUUGGAGCCAAUCGAUGUCCUCCUUCAACCAAUAUAAACGCGUACCUUCUUGCACGAGUAGAUUUGCAGCUAUUUCAACAGAUUUAUUGAUGACUGCUGUAAGAAGAAUAUCAGCCAUUUCUUUUUCAGUUAGCUACAAAAAAACUGAUCAGAAUGAUUAAUUAGGAAAAGAAGAUCAACUUAUACUGUAAAUAUUUGCUUUUGCUUUUUACUAAUAGCUGGAAUCCAUGGUAAGUCUCCUAAUAAUGUCAAGUAAAGGACACUAAUCAAAAAGACUCUCAUCUUACUGUGGACUCCAACAAUAAAGCAAAUAGUUGAUCACUUUACACUUAUUCCAUCAACUAUAUGAAUACACUCAUAUUUCAAAAAGAUAAUUAAUAAUUGAGAUAAUUAUUAAAAACCUACCCCACUCUAAAAAGUUUUAAGAUUAAAUUAUUGACAAUCUUAAAAAAAAAAACAAACACUUUUUUGCUUCACUAAUAAAACUUAUGCAACAUAAGUGAAAUAUACUCUUAAAAUUCUUGCUAAGUUUAGGAGUAUUUUCAAUACUCAUCUCGGUUUUUUAUUAAGAGCAUUAUGCUACUUCUACUAUUAGAAUUUGAGACCAUCUGCUAUGUCAUGUGACAGAUCGAAGACGUUUAAGUAGAGAUGUGUUUUUAAGACUGUCAAUAAUUAUAGAUAAAACUAAUAAUUUGCGGUAAGUUCAGAAUUAUUUACUAUCUCUAUUUUGCAUUUUCGUUCAUAAUUUAUUGAAUAAUUAUAGAUAAAACUACAUUCAUUAUUUAUUGAAUGUAGGGUCGUACUUCUUUAUCAUGACUUUGUUCAGUUACCAAUCUACUACCAACUCUAUUUUGCAUUUUUCGUUCUUCAAAAUUAACUACUUAUCUAUUUUCUUCAAACAUGUAGAAGAAAAUCAGGAGUGCAUAUUUAAUUUGAAGAAAAGAUUAAGCGAACAAACACCAUUAUUCAAAUAAGACCUCAGAUAAUUCUCCAUGGCAAAAUCAAGUGUUAUAUAAUGGCAUAAUGCUCUGCACUGUUUCUUACAACCUAGUGUUCUUGUUAUGUGUUCAAACAACUUUAUAAGAAACCAUUUUCUUUAGAAAUUUUUUCACUUCAUAUCAGAAGUUAUGAACUUAGCAGUAGUGUCCUAACACUAAUCCUCGCAUACCUACUGUUUCUUACAAUCAAGUUCGCCUAAACUAAACUUGUGUUGAAUCUCAGACCACAAUGAUAUAAGAAACGUAUAUGCAGCAGAAUUUAGAAAUAAGUUUAGUAACUAAUAAAAUAAACAAAAACUACUGCUAAUUCCUAAGGUAAAUAUAUACAUUAGACGAUAAAUAAAUAAACAUUACAUAUUUUACAAAUGAGAUGCGCAACAAAUACAUCAACUUGAAAAAACAAACGAACAUUUAAUUUAUUAAUUACAAAUACACAUAGGCUAUCAGAAGACAUAUAUAUAAGAUGCUCUUCACCAAAGACUUCAUCAUUCUAUAAUGCAUCUGCAAUUCAUUAGACAAACAAAUAUUAAGUUGAAGAAUUACAUACAGAUUAGAUAUUAAAAGUAAAUAUAACAAACUAACCUGUUGAUAGAUUAGUUAGAUUUUCAUAUUCUUAGCUUUGCGAGGCGUUCAGAGAGACUUAUUGGACUUUUUUAAUCUAGACAUACUGACAUCAUCACUGCACGUAAUUUCAAACAACUGAAUUGGAUGCUCAAUAUGCAAAACUUCAAUUUGUUUAGUUUUCUUAAUUUGGGCAAUUAUUUAAGCAAUGCCAGUAGGUGACCAUCUGCUAAAAAGCGGACGAGAGUAAGCUUAACAAGAUUUGGAGUGAAUGCUUCAGAGUGCAAGCGCAUUUUUAAAUGUCAAUAUUGGGAUACCCACUGAAGAUUCAGAUUCGCAAACCAGAAGAAAUAAAAGAUGAAAAGAAACACACAAAGAAUUAUCUGAGUUCACAGAAUCCAUUGUGGUUGAAGAUUAAUUCCUUCCAAGAUAAAAUGGAUUAACCAUUAAUCAAACUUAAAUAAUUUCAGCAAACUCAAAAUAACAGCAGUGAAUCACACACACAGAGAAAUGUAUGCAAAAGAACGAAAGAAUUCAAAUGGUGAAAAAUGAGAGACAACCUCUCUAUUUAUAGCCAACAAAGUAUAAAAGUCACAACUCUUAGGAAAGUAGACAACCUUCCAAAAAUGUCAUGAACACUUUGGAAAAGGCACAACCUUCAAACGGUCGCAAUCCUUUAGAGUGUUGGGUUAUCCCACAUCGGAAGUGGAAGGGGCUGGUGGUCAAUCUAUAAGUGUGAGGGAAAGCCUCAACCUUUGAGCUAGCUUUUGGGUUGAGAAGGCCCAAGACCACCCAAAACUGGUAUCAGAGCCAAGGUUUUAUCUGAGUAUGCUCUGUGGUUGCAGCACAGUCUGAACUUCCACAUCAGAAAAGAUUUACUUUGAUUUGCAAUAACUAUAUUUUUUGGGGAAAACAAUCGAAGCCAACACAAGUAGAAUGGUUACUUUGAAUGGUGUUAAUUAUGCCAUUUGGAAGAGGAAAAUGGAAGAUCUGCUUUAUGUCAAGAAUUUUUAUAAACCAGUAUUUACCACUGUAAAGCCUGAUAAUAUGACAGAUGAAGAGUGGAAUCUGUUGCAUAGACAGGUUUGUGGAUUCAUUAGGCAAUGGGUCGACGAUAAUGUGUUGAACCAUAUUUCUGGGGAAACACAUGCUCGAACCCUAUGGGAGCAUCUUGAAAGUUUGUAUGCUCGAAAGACUGGCAACAACAAAAUGUUCUUAAUAAAGCAAAUGUUGAGUUUGAAGUAUCAUGAUGGUUCUCCGAUGACAGACCAUCUGAAUAAUUUUCAGGGGAUAAUGAACCAAUUAUCUGUUAUGGGCAUCAAAUUUGAUGAAGAAAUUCAAGGCUUGCUUCUACUUGGUUCCCUACCAGAUUCAUGGGAAACAUUUAGAACGUCAUUGUCAAAUUCUGCUCCGGAUGGUGUGAUCUCUAUGGAUUCCGCCAAGAGUAGUGUCUUGAACGAAGAUAUGAGAAGAAAAACUCAAGGUUCCUCUUCGUCGGAUGUCCUGAUAACUGGCCCCAGGGGGAGAAAUAAAACUUGUAGUUCUCAGCAUAGAGAACAAAAUAAGAGCAAAUCCAAAGGCAGACUUAAGGAUAUUGAGUGCUAUCAUUGUGGCAUGAAAGGGCACACAAAGAAGUUCUGCAGGAAGUUGAAGAGGGAGAACCAAAACAAAGAGGAAACUAAAGAAGAUGGCAAUAAAAAUUGCUUAGCCACCGUCACCACCGAAGAUCUUGUUACCGUUCUUGAUGCAAACAUGAUAAAUAUUGCUUGUGAUGAGUCAAGCUGGGUUGUGGACACUGGUGCUGCAUCUCAUGUGACAUCAAGAAUGGAUUUUUCUCUUCCUACACUCCUGGUGAUUUUGGAACCUUGAGUAUGGGUAAUGAGACUGUUUCUAGGGUGGUUGGUAUUGGUACAAUUUUUUUGGAAACUAGUGUUGGAACUAAACUAGUUUUGAACAAUGUGAAACAUGCUCCUGAUGUUCGUCUACACCUAAUUUCUGUUGGUGUUUUAGAUGAUGAAGGAUAUGUUAGUACCAACGGUGAUGGAAAAUGGAAGCUCAUUAAGGGUUCCUUGGUUGUGGCUCGUGGUAACAAACGUCGUGGUCUAUACUGGACUACGGCCUCUUCUUGUGUUGAUAUGGUGAAUGCGGUUGAGAGCGAUAGCUCUUCAACAUUAUGGCACAAGAGGCUUAGCUACAUUAGCGAGAAAGGACUUAAUGUUCUAGCCAAGAAGAAAUUAUUGUCAAAUUUCCAAAGUGCUAAAUUAGAAAAAUGUGAGCACUGCUUGGCUGGUAAACAAAAUAGAGUUUCCUUUAAGUCCUACCCUCCUUCAAGAAAGACAGAGUUGCUUGAGUUAGUUCACUCUGAUUUAUGUGGUCCAAUGAAGACAAAGACAUUGGGUGGUGCACUUUACUUUGUCACUUUCAUUGAUGAUUGCUCGAGAAAACUUUGGGUCUAUGUCUUGAACACUAAAGACCAAGUGUUAGGUGUCUUUAAGCAGUUUCAGGCUUCAGUUGAAAGAGAAACUGGAAAGAAAUUGAAAUGUAUUCGUACUGAUAAUGGUGGUGAAUAUUUGGACCAUUUGACGAAUACUGCAAGCAUCAAGGUAUUAGACACCAGAAGACUCCUCCCAAGACUCCUCAGCUUAAUGGUUUGGCUGAGAGGAUGAACAGGACCUUGAUGGAAAGAGUUAGAUGUUUGCUUUCUGAAGCAAAGUUGCCAAACUCAUUUUGGGGUGAGGCUUUAUUGACCGCUGCACAUGUUAUUAAUCUUUCUCCUGUUGUUGCUUUGCAAAGUGAUGUACCAAAUAGUGUUUGGUAUGGAAAUGAUGUUUCCUAUGACCAUUUGAGAGUAUUUGGUUGCAAAGCUUUUGUACAUGUGCCGAAAGAUGAGAGGUCAAAAUUAGAUGCCAAGACAAGGCAAAGCAUCUUCAUUGGAUAUGGCCUAGAUGAAUUUGUAUACAGGCUAUAUGAUCCAAUUGAAAAGAAACUUGUGAGAAGCCGUGAUAUUAUUUUCAUGGAGAAUCAAACAAUUGAAGAUAUUGACAAAGCGGAGAAGGUAGAAUCUUCAAAUUUUGAUGGUAUAGUCCAUCAUGAUGAAGUUCCUCACACAAGUGUGCAUGAUGUUAUUGGGUUUGAUAAUCAUGGUGACGCCCAGAAUCAUGUAUCAAAUCAACAUGUUAAUGUUGAUAAUAACAAUGAUAUUGUUAUUGAUGAUCCUGUUGCUCAUGAAGUUGUGGAUGAAUCAAAUAUUCCGCUUCGGAGGUCCACAAGACAACGGUUUCCUUCCUCCCGUUAUUCAUCCAAUGAGUAUGUGUUACUCACUGACGGGGGAGAACCUGAAUGUUAUGAGGAGGUCAUGGAAGAUGAGCACAAGAAUCAAUGGAUUGAAGCCAUGCAAGACGAGAUGAAGUCUUUGCAUGAGAACCACACUUAUGAGUUGGUAAAAUUGCCCAAGGGCAUGAGAGCUUUGAAGAACAAGUGGGUGUUCAAAGUUAAAGUUGAAGAACACAACUUGAAGCCCAGGUACAAAGCUAGAUUGGUUGUUAAGGGAUUCGGUCAAAGGAAAUGUAUUGACUUUGACGAAAUAUUUUCUCCUGUUGUGAAAAUGUCCUCGAUUCGCACAGUUCUAGGUUUGGCUGCUAAUCUUAAUUUAGAGAUUGAGCAGAUGGAUGUGAAGACGGCUUUCCUUCACGGUGACCUAGAAGAAGAGAUUUAUAUGGAACAACCUGAGGGCUUCAAAGUAGAUGGUAAAGAAAAUUUUGUAUGCAAACUCAAAAAGAGUCUCUAUGGCCUAAAACAAGCUCCUAGACAAUGGUACAAAAAGUUUGAAUAUGUUAUGGGGGAGCAAGGCUAUAAGAAGACUUCUUCAGAUCAUUGCGUAUUUGUACAAAAAUUUUCUGAGAAAGAUUUUAUCAUCCUUUUGUUGUAUGUGGAUGACAUGUUGAUUGUGGGCAAAAAUACUUCCAAGAUUAACGAGCUAAAGAAAGAGUUGUGUAAGUCUUUUUCUAUGAAAGACUUGGGUCAUGCCAAGCAAAUUUUGGGCAUGAGAAUUACUCGUCUUAGAGAUAAAAGGAAGAUUUAUUUGUCCCAGAAGAAGUACAUUGAACGCGUACUGGAACGCUUCAAUAUGAAGAAUGCUAAGCCUGUUAGUAUACCUCUUGAUGGUCAUAUGAAGUUGAGCAAGAAGAUGUGUCCUACAGCUAGGGAGGAAAAAGAGAAUAUGGCCAAAGUUCCAUAUUCCUCCGUCGUCGAAAGUCUAAUGUAUGCAAUGGUGUGCACUAGACCUGAUAUUGCUCACGCAGUUGGUUUGUCAGUAGAUUUCUCGAAAAUCCGGGAAAAGAGCAUUGGGAAGCUGUGAAAUGAAUACUCAGGUAUCUUAGAGGAAGCUCAGAUGAAUGCUUGUGUUUUGGAGCAUCAAAUCCAAUCUUGAAAGGCUAUACAGAUUCUGAUAUGGCAGGUGACCUUGAUAACAGAAAAUCCACUACUGGAUAUUUGUUUACUUUUUCAGGGGGAGCUAUAUCAUGGCAGUCAAAGUUGCAGAAGUGUGUUGCACUAUCUACAACUGAAGCUGAGUAUAUUGCGGCUACUGAAGCCGGCAAGGAGAUGAUAUGGCUAAAGCAAUUUCUUCAAGAGCUUGGUUUGAAUCAGAUGGAGUAUAUUGUCUAUUGUGACAGUCAGAGUGCAAUAGACUUGAGCAAGAACUCCAUGUACCAUGCAAGAACAAAACACAUUGACGUCAGAUAUCAUUAGAUUCGUGAGAAAGUGGAGAAUGAAUCAUUUCACGUCAAAAAAAUUCACACAAGUGAAAAUCGUGCAGAUAUGCUGACAAAGAUGAUACCAAAAGACAAGUUCGAGUCAUGCAAAGAACUUGUGGGUAUGAGCUCUCUCUAAAGAAGUUGAAGAUACCUUGUUCCAGUAAAUGGGACUGGAGGGGGAGAUUUGUUGAAUCCAUCCCAUUGUUUUAGUCAACUUUAGUUAUUCAAUUGGUACAAACAAUUGUUAAAAAGGAAUAGUAAUUGGAGUUGAAAAGAAAAGAUUUGGUAGUUGGCAAAUUGGUAAGAUUUGCAACCAUUUUUGACUUUGCUAUGUUUACAUAUGUCAUUAGUGACAUAGGUAUGGUUUUAUCCUUCUAUAAAUAGAGCAUUCUUGCUCAUUUGUAGAACACACCAAGUUAGAGAAAAAAAAACCAUUUUGAGAGCAAAGUGAGGUAUUCCAUAGACUAUACAAGAAAAUAGUCUGUGAAGAAAAAUAGAGUGUGAGCGAUAUUUUUGUAAGACGGAAACCAAAAGAGUGUUGUUCCUUUUGAGUGUGUAGUAGUCACUUUGAGUGUUGUAUUCGUGACUACACAGUGUAAAAUUCCUUACUAUAGUAAUAUCAGUUGCUCCUCUUGGCCCGUGGUUUUUUCCCUUAUUCAGAAGGGUUUCCACGUAAAAUUCUUGGUGUCGUUAUUUUCUCAUUUUAUUUCCAUUACUUUUACCAUAUAUAUUUUUGUGCUUUUCGCGUUUUUCCAACAAACUGGUAUCAGAGCCCAGGUUAUCAACAAGUCUCAGCCCACCGGGAGGAACUGGGUUGUCGUUCUCUCUAGCCCAAGGCCCGAUGUGUGAAGGGGGAGAUUGUUGGGUUAUCCCACAUCGGAAGUGGAAGGGGCUGGUGGUCAAUCUAUAAGUGUGAGGGAAAGCCUCAACCUUUGAGCUAGCUUUUGGGUUGAGAAGGCCCAAGACCACCCAACAUAGAGAACAUAUAAUCUUUCAUAAAGUUCACAACCCUCCGGCAAAGUGACAACCCUUUAGGAGAGUUACAAUCCUUCAUUUGUUGGGAAAGACAAGGCACUAACAAAGAAUGUCUGACAGGAUAACAGCGGAAGAAUACCCAAGUCUAUACUUUCCCUUCUCGAUUUGAACCAAGAAAAGACAAACAACCACAAGCAAUAUGAUAGUAAGGCAGCAAGUAAUUCAACCAAACAAAUAUAACAAGACAAUAAUAAACCAAUCACACAAGACACCAAUUUCGCAGCUACUGUUUACGACAGCAAAACUGAAGUUGCAGGCCACCAAAUCCAACUCUGUCAGUUCCUAAUCAAAGAUUGAGAUGAAAAUAAUAUGCUGUCCAAAAAUCAGCUCAAUCGGACAAGAAACGAAGCGGGAAUCGCAAUUUGAAGUUGGCUGUUAGGGCUGAAUUUUGACUGCGAAAAUUGCUCUCUUUCUCUCUUUUUGGUUGCUAAAAAAACUCUCUGUGUAUAUGAAAAUAAGACCUAAAUAGGCUUAUAUUUGCCUCAUAAUAAUGGGCCUAUGGGCAAAAAUGAAUUGGUCCAAAUUGGACUUUUAUUUAUCCACAUAGGAAGCAAAAAAAACCAUAACCCAACAUCAUUUUCUGUUCACACCUUUAAAACUCAACAAAUGUCUCAAUUGUUUAAACUCCCAAACACCACAAGGAAGUUCAAUGAUGCUAUUACCAAUAUCUAGGGUCUCUAGACGUUUGAGCUUCACCGUGCAAUUUGACAGUUCACGUAAAUCUUCCCCUCGAAUAGCAGAUAGCGUAAGUAACUCAUGUUCCCGAUUUUGAAGUUAGGAUGAGUCAUUUGAGAAAAAAUGCAACUCUCUUUUGUGAAACAGAAAGGGUAAACAUACAUAAGACAAUAAAUGGUUGUAUUUUAAAAAUUAGUAGCGACAAAUACAUCAACUUGAAAAAGCAAAAAUCAAACAUUUAAUUUAAUGUUAUUUAUUGCAAAUUCAAACAGUCAUGGUCUCCAGCAAAGACUUGAAUCAUUCUGAAAUGCAUCUGCAAUUUAUUAGACAUAAAAUGAUUUAGUUCAUUAAUUAAAAAAAUUAGCUUAUUGAGAGAAAAUUGUAAAUAAUUAAGGUAGCAAACUAACCUGUUGAUGCAUUGAGAUUUUCAUACUCUCAGCUUUGUAAGACGUUCCGAGAGCCUAAUGUUGAACUUGGUAUGUUUCAGUAAUAACUUUUUCAAUUUAGGCAUACUCACAUCAUCUGUGCACUCUACUUCAGAUAACCCGAAUGGUUUUUGAAUAUGCAGAACUUCAAGUUGCAGAAAGCUAUCAUUAUCACCAGAGAGAUCCAUCUUUUCUUCCUUAUGUUGGCAGUAAAUCAUUUUAAGUAUUCUUAAUUUGGGCAAUUUCUUAAGCAAUGCUACUAAAUGACCUUCUACCUCAAUGCAGCUAAGAGUAAGCUUGACAAGAUUUGGAGGGAACGUUUCAGAGUUCAAAUGCUCGCUUCCAUUCAAAUGCAACUUAACAAUAUUUGGAAAGGGUGACAAGUUUAUUUGCUCACUCGAUUGAUACAAAAAUAUGAGCUUCAGAGCCUCCAACUCUUUUGGCAACGUUGAUAAUAUCUGAAUGGUAGAAUCAGAUACUCUCCAUAUACCCAGUUUUCUUAAGUUGAUCAACCGGUGAAAUAAUCUCGGUUCAACAAACUUAUCAUCCACACACAUCAAAGUUUGUAGAUUAGUAGGAGGCAAUGAGCAAAUGUUUCGGCUUAUAGAAAAGCAACAGUUAGAUUCUUGUAAAUUACCUUUACAACGAAGAUGUCUCAAUUGUGUAGACUCCCAAACACCAGUAGGAAGUAUUGCCCAGCUAUUUUCAAUAUUUAGGGUCUGCAUAUGUUUGACCAUACUAUUUGGCAGUUCCCCAUACAUAUGCCCCUCCAAUUGCAGAUAGCGUAAGCAACUCGUCUUCCCAAACGUUUUUGGGAUUCCUAUGUAACUUAAAAAAUAAUCAUAAGCUAUGACUACAACCAACACUUGCAAUAAUUUGAAGUCAUGACGAGCCAGUUGAGAAAAUAGGCAAGUAUCAUUUAUAAAACAGAAAAGUGCACGAAGUUUCUUAGGCUUAGGAUUUGAACGGAAGAAAUCAUUCAUGGCAUUAAUAUUAGAGUAGAAUGUAAUCCUUCGCACCCUAGAAACAUUGCCGGGAUCACCAAAUGCAUUGUGCUCGGUGUGAAAGAAGUUACUUUCCUUGCCCAACUCCACACACAAACUAUGUAACAAGUCAUGUAUGCGACAAGUUGAAAUUCUUCCAUCAUAUCUCCUUUUGGCAACUUGGAUCAAGUUUCUAGAAACCAAAUCAUUUAGGAAAUCCUCCGCCUUACUUUCAGCCUCUCGCGUAUUACCACUAUUUACAACUAUGAGCUUCUCAGCAAUCCACAUAUUUAUCAAAUCAAAAGCACGAAUUUCAUAGUCCUCGGGGAAAAGGCCAAAGUACAAGAAACAUGGCCUUAAUGCAAUAGGCAAAUCAUUGUAACUCAAAGCCAAUACCUUAGCACAUCCCUCUUGAAUUUUAUGAGUCAUACUGUCAAGUACUCUGUUCCAUGCAUGUUCUGUUCUUCCUCUUGCCCUUAACAUACCUGCAGUCACCACAAUCGCUAGCGGUAUACCUCCACAUCUCUCAACUAUACAUCUACCAAUAUUUACCAAGUCUGGUGAAGUAUUGGCCCAAUUAUCAUCAACAAAAUUACAGAUUUUCUUGGUAAAGAGUUCAAAACUGUUCUCCGAAUCUAGAGGUUGCAACACGUGGAUUGAGAAAUCCCCUCCUAUGUAUCUGCCUACAUUACUAUUUCGAGAGGUUAUAAUUAUCCUACUGCCAAUUUUUGAAUCAGAUUCAGGAAGGACGAGUUUUAGAUCAUCCCAAAUUUCAACAUCCCAAAUGUCAUCUAAAAGGAUAACGUACCUUUUUAUUUUCAAGAGUGAUCUUAGGUUGUGUUCCAAGUUCUC